GGGUGCGAUCAUACCAGCACUAAUGCACCGAGAGUAGUACUUGGAUGGGUGACCUCCUGGGAAGUCCUCGUGUUGCACCCCUC
Molecule: ribosomal RNA, 83 nt
Filed under: Gossypium raimondii (Peruvian cotton)
Lineage: Eukaryota; Viridiplantae; Streptophyta; Magnoliopsida; Malvales; Malvaceae
Source: RNAcentral